This is a long non-coding RNA of Perca fluviatilis (European perch), 2704 nucleotides long. RefSeq lists it as uncharacterized. NCBI's taxonomy places the organism in Eukaryota, Metazoa, Chordata, Actinopteri, Perciformes, Percidae. The transcript has 4 exons. The record is from RefSeq and is a predicted model, not a curated record.
GUGUAGAGAUGGUCUGACUGGUCGCUGUUACUGGGAGGUUGAGAGGAGAGGAGGGGUUGUUAUAUCAGUGAGUUACAGAGGAAUCAGCAGGAAAGGAAACCGUGAUGACUGUGUUUGGAUGGAAUGAUCAGUCCUGGAGUCUGAGGUGCUCUGAUUGUCGUUACUCUGUCACAAUUACAGAGAAAUCCAUCUCCUCCUCUGUCUCUGGUAGAGUAGCAGUGUAUGUGGACUGUCCUGCUGGCUCUCUGUCCUUCUACACAGUCUCCUCUGACUCACUGAUCCACCUCUACACCUUCAACACCACAUUCACUCAGCCUCUCUAUCCUGGGUUUGGGUUCUUGUCUCCUGGUUCCUCAGUGUCUCUGUAGGACGGAGAGUCUCCUCCCGUUUCUCACUGCUGAUCAGUUGAGUCUGUACAGGAUAACACUUACAGAAAUAUGUCAGCUUAUUGUUAUGAACUAAUGAAUGAACUUUGUAUAAAAUAGUGCUGGAGCAGCAUAAAACCUUUCAGACCUGACAACGCCACCUCCUAUUGAGGGUUAGGAGGAACCCUUACUAUGUUAUGUCGUGUGACCAACUCUAGUUCUCCCCUAACAGGAACAAUUAACAGGAGGCAAAUAUUGUACAAAAAUAAGUUUGGUUUUAUUACAAAAAGUUUAAAAGAAUUCCAAUUAAAAUAGCAAGGGCAGAUUAAUAAAAUAAUAAAUUAGAUGGCAGAUACAUGUGGUCUUACUCUCCUCAAAGUAGGAAGGUCGGGUCAGCAUGCGCACACUACUCUGGGAGACGACUGUGUGAGAAAGAAAGAGGAGACAGAAUGCAAAAUAAAACUAAAUAUCAUGCAAGUCACUACAAAAUCUACAGUGUUGAGGUUACAUACACACUGCAACAGUGUGUCACCCAGUGCAGUCUCACCACGAGGAGGCAGUGUGUCGACACGGACCCAGCCUUGUACAGGAUCAAGCUGUGAACAUACAUUAAUCGAGGAGAGAAACCUAUGUCAAAACUUCCAUAUCUAUCUAUCUAUCUAUCGACCACUUGUAAAUGAAAUCACAAAAAAAUUAAUCAACCAAAGCAAAUAACCAAAAGAAACAAAAUGGUAAAAUAACCGUAGAAAACAGUGACUGGACUGGUCCCCCUUUGAGAAAAAACAAACACCACAUUAGUGGCCAGUCACAAAGUUACAAAGUGUCUUGCAAAUAAUUUAUUAGCACAUUAAUAAAAAGAAUAAAAUAUAAGCCUACUUUGCAAGGACACAAACUCCUAUAGCACAGUUAAUGCGGGAGGGGGAGUAUUUUCCGGAGCUCCACAGCCACAGCAGCUCAUUAGUCACGUCAUUAGUCACGUCAGUGGUAAACUGAAACAUACAAAGAAACUUAACUUUAAAGAAACUACAAGUUGAAACACAUUCUAUAAAAGUAGCGCAUGGCUUGCGGUGGCAUAAGCAACGCAAAAGGAUAACAUUUAGCCAAAACGUUAAUUGCUACCACAUAUGGCUAAAACAGCUGAUAGGCAUUACCAUCAAUUUGCCCCAGUUCACUCCGUGAAGGUCGAGAGCUUGCACCUGGCUAUCAACCUAGUGGGACCAAAAUCAUAAAUCAACCAUAAGCUGUACUUGUGAUUGCUCCCCAAAUUACCACAACCAAACAUUUUUGUACCUGGAGAAUCAGGAGAAUCCACACAAACGCAUUGCGCUCAGUGAGAGGUAAGGGACUAAUGAAUGAACCUGGUGAGCUUUUUAUCACUUCCAGAUUGGCAACAGGUCACAUGACCACAUGCCCAAAUCAGCUGGUUUCCCACAUAAUGGAGAAUGACUGAACAGAUUCCUUGUGAACAUUGUAAACUUCUUCCACUUCCAGUCCUUAAAAAAUGGAAGCUGUGAUCAUGAAAUUGUAGAAAUGCCGUUGACUUGUGUCAUGUUUAGUUUUGAAUUGUGUCUCUUUUCACAAUUAAAAGCAUAAAGUUACUGUGAUGUGUUUGUGGUUUUUCUGUUGAACUUUUACACACAAUAAGAUGUCUCGGUGUCCCAGAUGUCUUCCAGGUCGAGCUGCAGCGUGAGAAACCCUCCAAUCAGAGCAGUCAAACCACCUGCAGUACCCUCACAGACGACUAGUGGAUUCGAGGGCGACUUCGAUUCAAUUCCCUUCCUGCCUGCUGCCUGACAGGUGGAGCUGGGACUCAUUCCAGGGAACAGCUCACCUGUGUCAUCCAACAGCUGUCAGAAAACAAACGGCGUAAAGUGAGACACAACACAACUCUGAUGUUUCUGCCUAUGUAUUUUUUGACAAAAAUUGUCAAAAAAUAUUCCAAAAGACAAUGAAAACUCUGAAAAAAGCAAGAGAAACAUAGAAAAAGCAGCUAAAAUGUCUGAAAACAUAAUCAAAAACCUUAAAAAAGGAAGAAGAACUUGUAAAAAGUCCCCCAUAAAUCCUGCCUAUGUGUACAUAGUUUUCUCUCCACGUUAGUCAUAUGGACAUUAGUUUAGUUCAAGUUGAAUAUUGACUGUGUAACAGAUAAAAGAUGUCAUGGAGCUUUAUAACAUGAGACAGACUGUCAAAAGGACUCUAUAUUCUUAUGCAAGGAUGAGAAGAUAGUUAUGAACUGUCAGUAAUAAGUGAUUUUCUUUUAAUAAGCUUGAAACAUUGAACAGUCCAACAUGACUACACUGUAAUAAAUUUCAUGUUAGUUUAACUUGGAAAUGAAAGUU